GGAAAUGCAAAAUUAAUCAACAAACACAAGAAUUAAACUAAAUUACUUGUCUUGAAUUAGAAAUAAAUAGACAAUAGGGUUCGUCCCAUCCAAUCCAUUAAACAAAUUAGCCUAACAUAAUGUUGGAAUUAAACGCAUAAAAAUAGAAUGACAUCAUCGAGAAAUAGACGAAACGUAAUUGAUUCAAUAGAAUGACAUCAUCGAGAAAUAGACGAAACGUAAUUAAUUCCAAUAGUUCGGGUCUUCCUCGUGUUUGCCAUCUUCGUAUCUCUUGAUUUCUGCCUUUGUAAUUUCCCUUUUUAAUUCCCCGGCAGUAGGUAGCUCGUGUAUCUUCGGCUCUCUCAUGUGAAUGUAAAUCCAACCAAAAACAGCCGCAAUUUCGUGUUUGAAUCUGUAUCAAUUCUGCCUUCCUGUGGGUAAUUAUAUAAUCUUCAGCAAUAUGCAACCCUAUUAAUUCCCUCACGUGUAUAUAUAUUUAAUUCUGCAGUGGGCAAAAUUUUCCCCAGUUGGCAUGUAUAAUUCUCCUUCCGGCUGCCGUUCCCAAUUAAUGUGUAACUAUCCUUCUCUUUUUUAUAUUUGCCAGCAUGUGUAUAUAUAUUAGUGGUAACCUAGCCCACAAUGUUUGACUUUCAAAAGGAUUCCAAUUUUUCUCCAAUUUGGCAAUCUGCACGUGUUUUUCUUCCCUCAAGAUUCCAGCACACUUUAAUUAAAGUACCUGCAGUCCAAGUCCAACUGAAAUUUGAGGCUCAUUAUGGUGGUAGUUGUUUCCAAGCUCUCAAUUUUCUUUCAAUGGCCACUUUAAUCCAUGCAUUUCAAAUAUUGCCAUUUUCCCCCAAUUUUUUCUUCUUUCCUUCACUUCCUUUUAAUCCAUGAAAAUUCACCUACUAAACGUAAGACACAACAAUUUAAAAUAUAUUUUGCUAAAAGACUAUCAGAUAUUGUUAUUUUAGAGCCCCGAAUAAGUGUAUAAAAUACACUUAUCAAACACCCCAAACAUAAAUCAUUUGUUUGUUCUCAAACAAAAUUAUAACCUAAAUAAUAACAAACACGCAAACAUGCAAAAAUAUUUGGUUAGACAAUCUAACUUUUUGCCUCAGGAUUUGAAAUCACGGUAUUAAAUCUACAAACUACUUCAAAGUCACUAUACUAAACUAAUAUCCACUUUUCCAAUGCAAAACCAACGUGUGUGUGUGUGUGUGAAGAACUAAGUAGACAUUAAUGAAUUCACAAGUUGUUCCAAUUCCCGACCCUCUAUAGUCAAAUAUAUCUAUUCAUCUCUCGUAAGAUUCACACACCCCCAAACAUAUUCAUUUUCACUCUUUUCCCAGUAUGUGAUCUAAGAUUGAAUUUCUCAUUACUAUCCUCACCCUCUCCAAUUCAGGUGGACGUCACUAGUUGUAAGUCAACACAUCAAUGAACAAGGAUUCUCCAAUUAUUUGAUUGCUUCGACCGUCAAGAUUCAAUUAUGCUAAUUAUUCUUUAUCGAAAGUCAAAUUUCCUCGAACAAGUGUUGGGACUUACAAGGCAUUUAGUGUUUUUUUUUUCACUCUCCCUUAAGCUUUCUAAAUGACUCAUGUAGUAGGCUUUAUGCCAAUAACUCCCACAUCAGAUGACUUUAAGGCACCAGAUUUUCAAAUGCCCUUACAGGCUUAAUAACCCGAGUAAAAAAGGCUUCAAAGAGAACAAUUUUUUAGGACAAUUUCAUCUCUGAUUGCUUUUUAAAUGACCCUUGUACCGAGUUUUAGGUUGAUAACUCUCAUGUCAGAUGACUUUAGGGCACCAGAUUUUAAGAUACCCUUACAGACUUAAUUGCUCAAGUCAUAAAAGUUCCGAAGAAAAAAUUUUAAAUUUAUAAAUAUAUGCCUUGAUCAGUACAAUGCCCCUUAUCACACACCUAUUCAAGCAAAUCGACCUCCAAUUUAAGACUUUCACCCAAUUUUAUCAUAUAAAUCUCAGAAAAUCCACAUAAAAUUUUUCACACAAGGAAUCCACAUUCACAUCUGUAUUUUCCUACAACAGUAAGAUCUCCCCAAAUUAUGCUAAAUUUGGUUUAAGGAUAAUUAAUUAGUAUGGUUUGGGUUAAGCAUCUAUGUCCAACUAAUUCAGUCUAUCAAGUGUAUGAAUGAACUCAUUUCAUCAUAAUGUUAAACUCAUUUCUAGUGCAUGUAUAAUAUCAAGUUUUGCAAGUUCAAACUUCAAUUAGUCUAGUAUGCAUUCUAUCCACAGUUCAUAAAUCAACACCAAAUCUCAAAUUUAAUCAUCAUUGUCAGCCAAACUGUCUAACUCACACAAUUAUAGCCAAAAAUAAAUAAAAAAUAAAAAUUUGAAGAUUUUUUUAAUUUUUUUUAAUUUUAUUAAACAUAUUAAAACAACGCACGAAAACAAGGAAAACCGAAAAACACAAAAUAUUUUCCACCCCUAAACUUAAACCAGACAUUGUCCUCAUUGUCUUAAAAUAUAAUUAAGAAUGUAUGGGGACGGGGAAGAAAAUGAGGAAGGUACUCCCUGAAUUUUUCCAUUGAACGUGGAAGAUACUGUUGGUAAUGGCUAGACAAUCUUUCUCAUAAUGCUUUCCCUUUUGUCGAUGUUGGUUUGAGUGUUUCACGACGUCAUGUUCGUGCAUCUGCUAAUCAAAUCAAACAUUAGAGAUCAAAUAAUUCAAAACAUGCAUUACUUAGCCCAAACACUCGAAAUAACCAACAUUAUAUUUAAGGGUCUCAAUAAAAACAUGAUCGGAUGAUGAUACUCUAUAAAUAUAAACGUGCCUAAAUCUAAUGCAACUAAUAAUUAAAACAAAUCUAUCUGCAAUACGAUGCAGAAAAUAAAAUAAAUAAGAGGUUUAGAAAUUGGGUUGCCUCUCAAUAAGCGUUUAAUUUAUAGUCUUUAGCUAGACUUUGUUGUUCUGGCUACUCUGUAUUAUCAAGUGGCACGGUUAUUUUUUCGCUGGAGUAGUCACCUCCCCAAUAAGCUUUCAACCGUUGUCAAUUUACUUUAAACCUCCUUUGUUGAUCUUGAGAUAUCACUUCCACAGUACCAUGUGGAAACAUAGUUACUACUGUGAACGGAUCAGACCAUCUAGACUUUAGCUUUCCUGGAAAGAGCUUGAGGCGUGAAUUGAACAUCAAUACCUGCUGACCAACCUCAAACUCCUUCUCCCUUAUAUGCCCGUCGUGCCAUCUUUUGAUCUUUUUCUUGUAAAUCUUUACAUUCUCAUACAAAUCCAAAUAAAACUCAUCUAGCUUAUGAAGUUGUAGAACCCUCUUUUCUCCUGCUGCCCUCAUAUUGAAAUUGAGCAAGUGUGUCGCCCAAUAUGCUUUUUGCUCUAACUCAACGGGUAGAUGACACGCUUUUCUGAAUACCAGUUGAUAUGGAGACAUGCCAAUUGGAGUCUUAAAUGCUGUUCUAUAUGUCCAAAGUGCAUCAUUUAAUUUCUUAGCCCAAUCUUUACGUGAUGCAUUGACUGUAGCUUCAAGAAUUUUUUUCAACUCCCUGUUGGAGAUUUCCACUUGUCCGCUAGUUUGAGGAUGGUAUGGAGUCGAGAACGAUGUUUCACUCCAUAUUUGGCCAACAACGAAGCAAAUAGGCGGUUACAAAAAUGCUUUCCACCAUAACUAAUAAUCGUCCUUGGGGUCCCGUAUCGAGUGAAAAUGUUCUUCUUGAGGAAUUGAGUUACCACUCGACUGUCAUUCGUUGGUGAAGCUACAGCUUCAACCUACUUAAACACAUAGUCCACCGCUACCAGUAUAUAUUGUUGACCAUAGGAUGGAGGAAAUGGUCCCAUGAAGUCAAUGCCCCAAACGUCGAAUGAUUUAACCUCCAAAAUACUGUUCGGAGGCAUCUCAUUCCCCCUUAAGAUGUUUCCAGUCCUCUGGAACUUAUCACAAUAUUUCAGCAUAUAAUGGGCAUCCUUGAACAAUGUAGGCCAAGAAAAACCCGAUUGAGUAUCUUUGCUGCUGUCUUGGUUAUUGCGAAGUGACCCCCAUACGGUGCAGAGUGACAUGAUUCUAAUACUUGAUGUUGUUCUACUUUUGGCACACAACGGCGUAUGAUUUGAUCUGGAUCCCUUCUGUAAAGGAUUGGAUCAUCCCAAAAGUAGUGUUUUAGGUCACUGAAGAGUUUCUUCUUUUGGUGACUCGAUUAGUCUAGUGAGAUGAUGGAGCGGGCCAAAUAAUUGACAUAAUCGGCGUACCAUGGUAUUGUGAUAAUCUGAAAAAGCAUUUCAUCAAGAAAAACUUCAUUGAUCUCCACUAUAGGAUUUGGCUCAUGUGAUUCAAGGCGAGAAAGGUAAUCUGCCACAACAUUCUCACUCCCCCCCCUUUUUUUUUUUAAUCUCUGAUCUCCAAAUCAAGCUCUUGCAAUAAGAGUAUCCAUCAAAUAAGUCUUGGUUUUGCGUCCUUCUUGCUCAUUAGAUAUUUCAAUGCUUAAUGAUUUGUAUAGACAAUCACUUUUGACCUAAUCAAAUAUGACCUGAAUUUGUCAAUGGCGAACACCACUGUCAAAAGCUCUUUCUCUAUAGUAGCAUAAUUCAUUUGAGCCUUGUCUAAAGUUUUACUAGCAUAGUGGAUAACAUGAGAAAUCUUCUCCUUGUGUUGACCCAACACCGUCCCCACUGUCUGAUCACUGGCAUCACACAUAAGCUCAAACGGAUAAUCCCAGUCUGGAGGAGCCAACAUUGGAGUGAAAACCAAUUUUUCCUUUAAAUUGUUGAAAGCAGUCAAGCACUCCUCAUAAAAGUGAAAUGGAGCUCCUUUUUCCAAUAGAUUACAUAAUGGCUUCGAGAUUUUGAAAAAGUCUUUGAUGAAUCGGCAGUAGAACCCAGCGUGACCCAAGAAACUUCUGACUCUUUUCACUGUUAUCGGCGAUGGUGGAUUUUCGAUGACUUGUAUCUUAGCUUUGUCCACCUCACUACCCCGUGCUGAAAUCAGAUGCCCUAACACAAUCCCUUCUUUUACUAUGAAAUGGCAGUUUUCCCAAUUUAAUACAAGGUUUGUAUCUUCACACCGCUGCAACACUUUUCCCAAAUGUGUAAGGCAUUCCUUAAAUAAUUUUUCAAAUACUGAGAAAUCAUCCAUAAAUACCUCAAUGAUAUUUCCCACCAUGUCCGAGAAAAUAGAUAUCAUACAACGUUGAAAGGUAGCAGGAGUGUUACAAAGAUCGAAGGGCAUCUUUCUAUAAGCAAAAGUGCCAUAAGGGCAUGUAAAGGUCGUCUUCUUUUGAUCAUCUGGCAUUAUAGGAAUCUGGUUGUACCCCGAAUAAAAAUCCAAGAAGCAAUAGUACGCAUGUCCAGCAAGUCUCUCCAGCAUCUGAUCAAUAAAAGGAAGGGGAAAGUGAUCCUUCCUCGUAGCGUUGUUGAGUUUACGAUAAUCAAUGCAAACUCUCCAACCCAUGACUAUGCGUGUUGGGAUGAGCUCAUUAUUUUCAUCUGGAACUACUAUGAUCACGUCCUUUUCGGUACGGCCUAUACUGGACUUACCCAAUGACUGUCUAAUAUAGGGUAGAUGAUCCCUGUAUCUAGAAGCUUUAAUACCUCUUUCCUUACCACUUCCUGCAUAGUCAGAUUUAAUCUACGUUGAUGCUCAAUUGAAGUUUUGUAGUCAUCUUCCAUCAGUAUCUUGUGCAUGCAAAGAGAAUGGCUGAUUGUUUUUAUAUCUGAUAUCGUCCAUCUUAUUGCUGUCUUAUGCUCCCGAAGUACCCUUAGCAACUGAUCUUCCUUUGAUCCUGUAAGAUUGUUCGAGAUAAUUACUGGAAGUGAAUUCUUUUCCCCCAAGUAUGCAUAGCAAAGAUAAGUGGGCAGCUGUUUGAGUUCAAGAGCUGAAGCUUGCUGUAUAGAUGAUAACGGUAUUGUGGGUCUUUCACUGAGCUCUAAACGUGGUUGCUUGAAGAAUGGUGGUAGGGCUGCCAAAUAACGUGCACAUUCUUUUGUUUCCUCCUUUUCUCAUGGUAAAUCCUGAGAAUGCACUAAACACGCCUCAAGCGGAUCUGGAGGGUGAUUUAGUUUGAAUGUCUUUGACACCAUUUCUUUUAUUACAUCAAUCUGCAUGCAAGAAUCUGGUUCGCACUGAAAUCUGAAAGCUCCAAACACAUUGAUUGUCAGUUCUUUUUCAUUUAACCUUAAUAUCAACUGGCCAUUUUACACAUCUAUCAUAGCCCUUCCCGUAGCCAAAAAUGGACGACCCAAUAUGAGCCAGACAUCCCUAUCUUUCUCCAUAUCCAGAAUAAUGAAGUCCAUUGGGAAGAUAGACUUGUUGACCUUCAUCAAAAUAUCUUCACAAAUACCACGAGGGUGCUUGAUCGACCUGUCAGCCAACUGUAGUGAAAUUGUUAUUGGUUUUGCUUCCCCCAAACCUAGUUUUCAAAAAAGAGACAAAGGCAUUAAAUUAAUGCUAGCUCCUAAAUCACAUAAUGCUUUAUCUAUAUAUAAGUUACCAAUGUUACAAGAAAUAGUAAAACUCCCUGGGUCUUUUAGUUUCGAUGGUAAUUUGUGUUGGAGAAUUGCGCUACACUUCUCAGUAAGCAUGACAUUUCAUUAUCCUCCAGCUUCCUCUUAUUUGAUAGAAUAUCUUUCAUCAACUUGGCGUAGCUAGGCAUUUGAGCUAAAGCUUCAGCAAAUGGUAUGUUAAUGUGCAACUUUUUGAACACAUCCAAAAAUUUCUGAAAUUGCUUAUCGAGCUUAUGUUUUUGCAAUCUCUGUGGAAAUGGGAUCGGAGGAACAUAUGCUUUGAUAGGAGCAGUUGCCUUCACCUUUGGACUAUCCGAUUACUCAACUUAAUUUUUCUCUGUGGCUUUAUCUUAUUCAUCAACUUGCUCCUCGCCCGUGAUAGGUGUCUUUUCCAUAAUAGUUACUGGCCGCUUUACAUGUAUUUCUGGUAACUGGACGCCACUACGUAUAGUGAUUGCUUUAACCUGCUCCUUAGGAUUUGUUUCAGUAUUGCUAGGCAAUGUCCCUUGAGCUCUACCUGAUAGUGCGGCUGCAAUUUGUCUAACAUGUUGUUCCAAAUUCUUGAUUGAGGCUUGUUGAUUCUGAAAGUUGGUCUCAGUUUUAGUAAUGUAUUGAGUCAGCAAAUCUUCCAACGAUGGCUCUCUCCCUUGCUGUUGGAACCCUGGUAGUUUAUUCUGAUUGUUUCCUCCUUAUUUUUGUACCUGAUUAUUGAACCAAGAAAAAUUUGGAUGGUUCCGCCAACCCGGAUUAUAUGUGUUGGAGAAAGGAUUAUUUUGCUGUCUCUGAAAGUUCUGCAUGUAUCUUCUUUCUUCGGAUUGAUUAACACGUGUUGAUGCCAAAGGGCAGCGUGUAUUAGCAUGAUCCGCUCCAUAGCCUUCGCAAACAGGUGGCGAUUGGUGUACCAUAUUAACUGACUUAGAUAGAUUGUCCAUUUUCAUUAUAAGAACUUCCAUUUGCGCGGCCGUGUUGUCACUGCAUCCACGUUGUGUAACCCUAAUAUUUUCCUUGGAGCUUUCCUAUCGGUUGGCCAUAUCGAUUGAUUUACAGCUAUUUUUUCAUACAAAUCAUAGGCCUCAUCGACAUCAAGUUUCAUAACCGAUCUUCUCGCUGAAGCAUCUAUCAUAUUCCUGAACUCAUAUUUUAGACAGUAGUAGAAGAGAUAUUACUGAGCCUGCUUAGGAAUGUCAAGGCUGAGAUAUUUUCUGAAAAAAAUUCUUGAACCUCUCCCAUGCCACAGAAUAGCUCUCGAGAUCUUCUUGCUUGAAGGUGUGGACGUCAUUCCUAAUUUGGUGAACUCGAGAAGGUGGAAAGAAUUUCAUCGUGAAUUUUUGAACCAUAUCGUUUCAUGAUUGAUUGCUCCCUGGUGGUAAAUAGAGGAACCAUUCUCUGGCAGUAUCCUUCAAGGUAUGAGGAAAUAAUUUCAUUCGGAAUGCAUCUGCUGAUAUUCCUUCAUGACUGAUCACUUCACAUAACACGAGAAAAACAUAAAUAUGCUCAUGAGGAUUUUCCGUGGCUUUUCCAAAGAAUCUAAUGUCUUGGUGAUUUUGAAAUAAAUUGAUGACAUCUGGUCUGAGGUGAAAAUUAGGUUGUCCGAAGGGAGGAUAUACCACAGCAGGUUGUACUGGUGCGGGAAUUGGAUUGACGUAAUCUCCAACUAAGACAGGAGCUUCAUUCAGGAUAGCUCUCUGUUGAUUUGGCUGUUGAAUUGGCUCAUGAAGUUGAACCUUAUUCUGUGGUUGAUUCUGAUUAUCGGUCAUUCUCCUUGCUUGACAUUGUAUUCUACGAUUUCUGAAUGUUCUUUCGAUUUCGUGGUCUAUCGAAGAGAGAUAUGGCUCAUCAGGAUUUUGCAAAAACUAAAGUCGCUUAAAAAGUGUAAUGGUAGCAUAAAAAUAACAACUAAAAAUAAAAAUUAAAAAAUUAAUCUAAAAUAUCUAAUAAUUAAAGUUAACACCGUUAUUCCCCAACAACGGCGCCAAAAACUUGUUCGUGUGAAACCCGUAAGCAUACGGGAUCAUUGACAAGUAAUAGCUAUGAUGAGUUAAGAGUUAUCGUCCCACGAGGAAUAAUGUCUAAUUCUAGUUUACUAGUUACUAUUAGAUUUGAAUUAUGAAAAACAAAGGAAAUAUUUUGAUUUGAUUUAAACUAAACUAAUCUGAGAAAACGAUAAAAAUUUUUGGGGUUUUUUCAAAUUAUGGAGGAUUGUAUUAGAUUUCGACUCCGCCUAUUGCUAUUUAUUUCGAUUAUUGAUUCGUAAUCUAAUUCCAUUCAAGUGUUCUUGACAAUCGAUAACGCUAAAUUAUUUAAUGCUCUUUUCCAAGACACACGAACAUAUAAUUAACACAACUCGAUCCUAGUCUUAGUCCAACUUCAUAUGAAAAUCAUGCAUUUUGUUCAAGUUAUCUAAAUGAUUGCAUGUGUGAAAGAGAUUAUUCAUAAUUCUAACUAUACAUGUUAAUUUUAUCGCAUUCUAAACUCGUUGUGAGUAUUCCUACACUACAACAACCAACUAACUAUUUAAUUGAUGGCCAAACAAUGUAAUAGUGCAAUGAAAAUGCAAAAUUAAUCAACAAACUCAAGAAUUAAACUAGAUUACUUGUCUUGAAUUAGAAAUAAAUAGACAAUAGGGUUCGUCUCAUCCAAUACAUUAAACAAAUUAGCCUAACAUAAUGUUGGAAUUAAACGCAUAAAAAUAGAACGGCUUCAUCGAGAAAUAGACGAAACGUAAUUAAUUCCAAUAGUCCGGGUCUUCCUCGUGUUUGCCGUCUUCGUAUCUCUUGAUUUCUGCCUGCGUAAUUCCCUUUUUUAAUUCCCUAGCAGUAGGCAGCUCGUGUAUCUUCGACUUUCUCUCAUGUGAAUGUAAUUUAAAAACAGCAGCAAUUUUGUGUUUGAAUCUGUAUCAAUUCUGCCUUUUUGUGGGUAAUUAUAUAAUCUUCAGCAAUAUGUAGCCCUAUUAAUUCCCUCACUUGUAUAUAUAUUUAAUUCUGCAGUGGGCAUAAUUUUCCCCAGUUGGCAUGUAUAAUUCUCCUUCUAGCUGCCGUUCCCAAUUAAUUUGUAAC
This 9495-nucleotide long non-coding RNA is filed under the name Olea europaea (common olive). Its description in RNAcentral is "long non-coding RNA (OEUR_LNC004444)". The record is from RNAcentral. Lineage: Eukaryota; Viridiplantae; Streptophyta; Magnoliopsida; Lamiales; Oleaceae.